Molecule: ribosomal RNA, 433 nt
Filed under: uncultured bacterium
Lineage: Bacteria
Description: partial 16S ribosomal RNA
Rfam family: Bacterial small subunit ribosomal RNA
Source: RNAcentral
AACGAACGCUGGCGGCAUGCCUAACACAUGCAAGUCGAACGAGACCUUCGGGUCUAGUGGCGCACGGGUUCGUAACCCGUUGGAACCUACCCUUAGGUUCGGCAUAACUCCCCGAAAGGGGUACUAAUACCGGCUAAUGUCUUCGGACCAAAGAUUUAUCGCCUUUGGAUGGGCCCGCGUUGGAUUACCUUGUUGGUAGGGUAAAAGCCUCCCAAGGCGACGAUCCAUAGCUGGUCUGAGAGGAUGAUCAGCCACACUGGGACUGAGACACGGCCCAGACUCCUACGCGAGGCAGGAGUGGGGAAUAUUGGACAAUGGGCGAAAGCCUGAUCCAGCAAUGCCGGGUGAGUGAUGAAGGCCUUAGGGUUGUAAAGCUCUUUUACCCGGGAUGAUAAUGACAGUACCGGGAGAAUAAGCUCCGGCUAACUCCGUG